RNAcentral lists this ribosomal RNA (253 nucleotides) under uncultured bacterium. RNAcentral's name for it is "partial 16S ribosomal RNA". It matches the Rfam family "Bacterial small subunit ribosomal RNA", at positions 524 to 776 of the family's 1533-position model. The record is from RNAcentral.
UACGAAGGGGGCUAGCGUUGUUCGGAAUCACUGGGCGUAAAGCGCACGUAGGCGGAUGUGCCAGUCAGGGGUGAAAUCCCGGAGCUCAACUCCGGAACUGCCUCUGAUACAGCACGUCUUGAGUUCGAGAGAGGUGGGUGGAAUUCCUAGUGUAGAGGUGAAAUUCGUAGAUAUUAGGAAGAACACCGGUGGCGAAGGCGGCCCACUGGCUCGAUACUGACGCUGAGGUGCGAAAGCGUGGGGAGCGAACAGG